RNAcentral lists this non-coding RNA (71 nucleotides) under Homo sapiens (human). The record is from RNAcentral. Lineage: Eukaryota; Metazoa; Chordata; Mammalia; Primates; Hominidae.
UGUGCGUGUGUGUGUUUGUGUAUGUGUAUGUGUGUGUGCAUAUGUGUGUGUAUGUGCAUGUUCAUGCAGAU